CCUACGGGAGGCAGCAGUGAGGAAUAUUGGUCAAUGGACGAGAGUCUGAACCAGCCAAGUAGCGUGAAGGAUGACUGCCCUAUGGGUUGUAAACUUCUUUUGUAUGGGAAUAAAAUGUUCCACGUGUGGGAUUUUGUAUGUACCAUAUGAAUAAGGAUCGGCUAACUCCGUGCCAGCAGCCGCGGUAAUACGGAGGAUCCGAGCGUUAUCCGGAUUUAUUGGGUUUAAAGGGAGCGUAGGUGGAGUGUUAAGUCAGUUGUGAAAGUUUGCGGCUCAACCGUGAAAUUGCAGGUGAAACUGGUAGUCUUGAGUACAGUAGAGGUGGGCGGAAUUCGUGGUGUAGCGGUGAAAUGCUUAGAGAUCACGAAGAACUCCGAUUGCGAAGGCAGCUCACCGGACUGCAACUGACACUGAGGCUCGAAAGUGUGGGUAUCAAACAGGAUUAGAUACCCGAGUAGUC
RNAcentral lists this ribosomal RNA (460 nucleotides) under uncultured bacterium. RNAcentral describes it as "partial 16S ribosomal RNA". It matches the Rfam family "Bacterial small subunit ribosomal RNA", at positions 338 to 795 of the family's 1533-position model. The record is from RNAcentral.